This 352-nucleotide ribosomal RNA is filed under the name uncultured bacterium. RNAcentral's name for it is "bacterial SSU rRNA". It matches the Rfam family "Bacterial small subunit ribosomal RNA", at positions 976 to 1326 of the family's 1533-position model. The record is from RNAcentral.
UAGCCUUGACAUUGAAAGAACACACUAGAGAUAGAGUGGUGCCCUUCGGGGAGCUUGAAAACAGGUGCUGCACGGCUGUCGUCAGCUCGUGUCGUGAGAUGUUGGGUUAAGUCCCGCAACGAGCGCAACCCUCGUCCUUAGUUGCCAGCAGGUUAAGCUGGGCACUCUAAGGAGACUGCCUUCGCAAGGAGGAGGAAGGUGAGGACGACGUCAAGUCAUCAUGGCCCUUAUGGCUAGGGCUACACACGUGCUACAAUGGGGCGUACAGAGAGUUGCGAUACCGCGAGGUGGAGCCAAUCUCAUAAAGCGUCUCUCAGUUCGGAUUGUUCUCUGCAACUCGAGAGCAUGAAGC